RNAcentral lists this transfer RNA (65 nucleotides) under marine eukaryotic metagenome. It matches the Rfam family "tRNA". Rfam says of the family: Transfer RNA (tRNA) molecules are approximately 80 nucleotides in length. Their secondary structure includes four short double-helical elements and three loops (D, anti-codon, and T loops). The record is from RNAcentral.
GGGAUUAGUACAGUGGUAGUACGUUGGCUUCCCAAGCCAGAAACGCGGGUUCGAUUCCCGUAUCC